RNAcentral lists this ribosomal RNA (478 nucleotides) under uncultured bacterium. RNAcentral's name for it is "partial 16S ribosomal RNA". It matches the Rfam family "Bacterial small subunit ribosomal RNA", at positions 28 to 523 of the family's 1533-position model. The record is from RNAcentral.
GACGAACGCUGGCGGCGUGCUUAACACAUGCAAGUCGAACGGUAAGGCCCUUCGGGGUACACGAGUGGCGAACGGGUGAGUAACACGUGGGUGAUCUGCCCUGCACUUCGGGAUAAGCCUGGGAAACUGGGUCCAAUACCGGAUAGGACCACUGCCUGCAUGGGUGGUGGCGGAAAGCUUUUGCGGUGUGGGAUGGGCCCGCGGCCUAUCAGCUUGUUGGUGGGGUGAUGGCCUACCAAGGCGACGACGGGUAGCCGGCCUGAGAGGGUGACCGGGCAAGCUGGGACUUAUAGACGGCCCAGACUCCUACGGGAGGGAGCAGUGGGGAAUAUUUGACACUGGGCGCAAGCCUUAUGCAGCGACGCCGCGUGAGGGAUGACGGCCUUCGGGUUGUAAACCUCUUUCAGUAGGGACGAAGCGCAAGUGACGGUACCUACAGAAGAAGGACCGGCCAACUACGUGCCAGCAGCCGCGGUAA